This 67-nucleotide small RNA is filed under the name Xanthomonas vasicola. Its description in RNAcentral is "sX9 sRNA". It matches the Rfam family "Xanthomonas sRNA sX9", at positions 10 to 76 of the family's 76-position model. RNAcentral also lists the same sequence under 3 other names. The record is from RNAcentral. Lineage: Bacteria; Pseudomonadati; Pseudomonadota; Gammaproteobacteria; Lysobacterales; Lysobacteraceae.
ACGUGCGCUGCGGUUCCUGCGCUUCAUCCACUCCCGUCUGACGACCGUUCGCUACGUGGAGUUAGCC